RNAcentral lists this ribosomal RNA (960 nucleotides) under Solirubrobacteraceae bacterium. RNAcentral describes it as "partial 23S ribosomal RNA". It matches the Rfam family "Bacterial large subunit ribosomal RNA", at positions 1968 to 2925 of the family's 2925-position model. The record is from RNAcentral. Lineage: Bacteria; Bacillati; Actinomycetota; Thermoleophilia; Solirubrobacterales; Solirubrobacteraceae.
CUUGUCGGGUAAGUUCCGACCUGCACGAAUGGCGUAACGACUUGGACGCUGUCUCAACGAGGGGCUCGGUGAAAUUGCAGUCUCGGUGAAGAUGCCGAGUACUCGCAGCUAGACGGAAAGACCCCGUGAACCUUUACUGCACCCUGAUAUUGGCAUUCGAUCCAUUUCGCUCAGGAUAGGUGGGAGACGUUGAAGCAUCGGCUGCGGCUGGUGUGGAGUCAACCUUGAGAUACCACCCUUGAUGUAUUGGAUGUCUAACUGGUUACCGUGAUCCGGUGCCGGGACAGUGUCAGGCGGGUAGUUUGACUGGGGCGGUCGCCUCCUAAAAUGUAACGGAGGCGCGCAAAGGUUCCCUCAGUACGGUCGGAAAUCGUACGUAGAGUGUAAAAGCAAUAAGGGAGCUUGACUGCGAGACUGACAAGUCGAGCAGGUGCGAAAGCAGGCUUUAGUGAUCCGGCAGUAGCAAGUGGAAGCGCUGUCGCUCAACGGAUAAAAGGUACUCCGGGGAUAACAGGCUUAUCGGGCCCAAGAGUCCACAUCGACGGCCCGGUUUGGCACCUCGAUGUCGGCUCGUCGCAUCCUGGGGCCGGAGUAGGUCCCAAGGGUUGGGCUGUUCGCCCAUUAAAGCGGUACGCGAGCUGGGUUCAGAACGUCGCGAGACAGUUCGGUCCCUAUCUGCUGUGAGCGUUGGAGAAUUGCGAGGAGUUGCCCCUAGUACGAGAGGACCGGGGUGAACAGGCCUCUAGUGUAUCUGUUGUCCUGCCAAGGGCAUCGCAGAUUAGCCACGCCUGGAUUGGAUAACCGCUGAAAGCAUCUAAGCGGGAAGCCAACCUCAAGAUGAAUUCUCCCACCACUUUAAGUGGGUAAGACCCCUGGUAGACCACCAGGUUGAUAGGCCGCAGUUGUAAGGAGAGCAAUUUCCUUAGACGAGCGGUACUAAUUGGUCGAGGGCUUGAUGGA